UACGUAGGGGGCAAGCGUUGUCCGGAUUUAUUGGGCGUAAAGAGCGUGUAGGCGGCCUGGCAGGUCCGUUGUGAAAACUCGAGGCUCAACCUCGAGACGUCGAUGGAAACCCUCAGGCUAGAGUCCGGAAGAGGAGAGUGGAAUUCCUGGUGUAGCGGUGAAAUGCGCAGAUAUCAGGAAGAACACCUAUGGCGAAGGCAGCUCUCUGGGACGGUACUGACGCUGAGACGCGAAAGCGUGGGGAGCGAACAGG
Molecule: ribosomal RNA, 253 nt
Filed under: uncultured bacterium
Lineage: Bacteria
Description: partial 16S ribosomal RNA
Rfam family: Bacterial small subunit ribosomal RNA
Source: RNAcentral